AAGCAAUGCUCUGUGGCAGAUGAUCAAAACUGUCUGACAUAAUUUGAGCUUGCUAAAGCAACAAAGUCUAACCUAUUCCAGUGUUCUCUCCUCUACGAGACUAUCCAUUAUAUAGACUUAGUAUAA
Small nucleolar RNA from Myotis lucifugus (little brown bat), 126 nucleotides. Ensembl annotates it as small nucleolar RNA SNORA28. The record is from Ensembl. NCBI's taxonomy places the organism in Eukaryota, Metazoa, Chordata, Mammalia, Chiroptera, Vespertilionidae.